Molecule: ribosomal RNA, 423 nt
Filed under: Triticum aestivum (bread wheat)
Lineage: Eukaryota; Viridiplantae; Streptophyta; Magnoliopsida; Poales; Poaceae
Description: partial small subunit ribosomal RNA
Source: RNAcentral
AAAAUGCAAGGCUGAUCAGAGAAAAAUUUGGCUUGUGCAGGUAGGGAAGUAUUGCUCAAAUCAGUGGUUCAGUCCAUUCCUACUUCCAGCAUGACUUGUUUUCAAUUGACCAAGACAGUUUGUUCGCAACUUACAACUUCUAUGGCGAAAUACUGGUGGAGUAGUUCCAUUGACAAUCGAAGUUUGCACUGGUUGUCAUGGGAAAAUCUCUAUGUACCAAAGAUGAAAGGAGGCAUGGGUUUUUGGGAUUUCGAACAGUUCAACUUAGCGCUAUUAGGCAAGCACGGGUGGCGGCUUAUGACACAUCCCAACUAAUUGUGCUCUAGCGUGCUGAAGGGAAAGUACUUUCACAACUGUGAUUUUAUGGAGGAGCAUGCGCCCCGCUCGACAUCAGCUACAUGGAAGGCAAUCAUUGCUUGCUGA